This 415-nucleotide ribosomal RNA is filed under the name Gemella morbillorum. RNAcentral's name for it is "bacterial SSU rRNA". It matches the Rfam family "Bacterial small subunit ribosomal RNA", at positions 38 to 440 of the family's 1533-position model. Lineage: Bacteria; Bacillati; Bacillota; Bacilli; Caryophanales; Gemellaceae. The record is from RNAcentral.
GGCGGCGUGCCUAGUACAUGCAAGUCGAGCGAAGUUUUUCUGGUGCUUGCACUAGAAAAACUUAGCGGCGAACGGGUGAGUAACACGUAAAGAACCUGCCUCAUAGACUGGGACAACUAUUGGAAACGAUAGCUAAUACCGGAUAACAGUAUUUCUCGCAUGAGAGAUAUUUAAAAGUUGGUUAUGCUAACACUAUGAGAUGGCUUUGCGGUGCAUUAGCUAGUUGGUGGGGUAAAGGCCUACCAAGGCGACGAUGCAUAGCCGACCUGAGAGGGUGAUCGGCCACACUGGGACUGAGACACGGCCCAGACUCCUACGGGAGGCAGCAGUAGGGAAUCUUCCGCAAUGGGCGAAAGCCUGACGGAGCAACGCCGCGUGAGUGAAGAAGGAUUUCGGUUCGUAAAGCUCUGUUGUU